This 108-nucleotide non-coding RNA is filed under the name bovine gut metagenome. Its description in RNAcentral is "FMN riboswitch (RFN element)". It matches the Rfam family "FMN riboswitch aptamer (RFN element)". Rfam says of the family: The RFN element is a highly conserved domain that is found frequently in the 5'-untranslated regions of prokaryotic mRNAs that encode for flavin mononucleotide (FMN) biosynthesis and transport proteins. This element is a metabolite-dependent riboswitch that directly binds FMN in the absence of proteins. The record is from RNAcentral.
UUUCUUCAGGGCAGGGUGAGAUUCCCGACCGGCGGUAAAGUCCGCGAGCCAAAGUGCAUGAUCCGGUGAAACUCCGGAACCGACAGUACAGUCUGGAUGAGAGGAGGA